UGGGGUGUAGCUCAGUGGUACAGCAGUGUUUAGGAGGCACAAGGCCCUGGGUUUGAUCCCCAGAACCACUA
This 71-nucleotide transfer RNA is filed under the name Marmota monax (woodchuck). RNAcentral describes it as "tRNA.Pro". The record is from RNAcentral. Lineage: Eukaryota; Metazoa; Chordata; Mammalia; Rodentia; Sciuridae.